UUAAGGGGAGUCUCUCUCCUCUUUUUAGAGAUAACUCUCUCUUCUCUUUCUUUUCAACGAAUCCAAAUCCUUCAGAGAAAAAAAGAGAGAUGUUUUUGUUUUUGAUGUAAUAUAAAUGAUCUUCAAUCAAAAGAUCAAUCUUUCGUCUUCCGUUUGCGAAUUUCUACUUCGCAAUGCGAGUUUUUGUUGUGUUUCAGCAUGAAUCAGAACUGCUCUUUAAGGCUUUAUUCUUCUCAGAUUCAAGUUGAAUAAUAAAUUGCCAGUCAUGGAAGGUUACAGUUUCUUCAUCUUGAUCAGACAAAAGGUAGUGGCUCUGUAAUUUCAUUCCUAUUCAUGUUUUGUCUCUUUCCAAUUAACGAAUCUACUUGAUGUUAUGAGGGUAAUUUCGCGCCGGCUUAAGCCGUCAAUCCUUGGUGGGGCGGUGUUAAAGUUUUCAGAAUUGCAAAGUUCACCGGGAAGGCAGGUGUGCUCCUCAUCGCAAGCAGAAGAAGUUUUGACAGAAGGGAGAAGGGCGACAGAAGAGACGCUGUUGUUUGAUAUCAGAUUGGAUUAAUGGUAUUUCCAAAAGAAAUGCGAUUUCUGGCAGCUUUACAAUGAAGAGAAGACUGGAACAAGAAGACCCCGCGAAGCAGGCUUUUCGACGCCUUUAAUUGUCGUCUCAUGCAUGGAGGACACAUAUUAGGAUACAUGUAAAGCUUUGUUUGGCUGGCACGUGGAUAAACACUCAACAAUAAUCAUCUCUCACAGUUUUGGGCUUUUCUUUUUUUUUUUCUCAUAUCAUAUGUAAUUGCCCGUUGGAUUUUUAUUUAAUGGUAAACACGGGCCCAUAAAAAAAGAGUAUUACUCCUCUGUUUUAUAAUAAGUAUUGUUCUGACAUUUUUUCUCGUUACAUUUUAAAAUUCUAAUUCUAAUUACAAACUGC
RNAcentral lists this long non-coding RNA (922 nucleotides) under Brassica napus (rape). RNAcentral's name for it is "long non-coding RNA (BNAP_LNC018877)". Lineage: Eukaryota; Viridiplantae; Streptophyta; Magnoliopsida; Brassicales; Brassicaceae. The record is from RNAcentral.